CAUCCGGGAGGCGUUGAGUGCGGGUGAAAGUUCGAGGUCGUGUUCGCGCGCUAAAUGAUGAUUGGGACAGAACUUUUUCGCCUAGUGACAAUGCAGGAGAUUCAAGAGUUGUGUAGUGAUAGAUUGUGGUCGGCUUUGAAAGCCUCUGGGUUCGGAAGCCUCAGCGGACUUACGGGUUCAUUAGGUCGCGCGGCGGCCACGUGCAGCCCUGGGCGCUGAGUGGAGGCCGAGCGCGGGCCUCGGGCGCAGGUUCAGUGUCCGGAUGGCUCCGGGAAGAAAGUCAUUAGUUUCACUCUCUGUCACGUGGCCAUCUUCAGUCUACGCCGCCGCUGUUACAUAGCAACAGCGCGUGCUGAUUCCCGCCACGGUUUGAUCCAGCUGGAAGCUGAACUGAUGGUUCCGAUGAGUGAUGGGAAACAACCAGGUAUUAGAUCCAAAGUGAUGGGUGGAAACUUAAAUAGCAUCCUGCCGUGCACUGUCAUGCAUGAUUUUAAAUCUCAGCAGCUCGGGGAUUGAGUGUGGUGAAAUGUCUAUUUUCAAUAUAAGCAUGAAUGUUACCUUUAAGUAUGGUAUUUAAGUAGAAUAAGUGAGUGCUUCCUUGUUAUAAUUAAAUAAAAUGCUUGGUUCAUCCGGA
This is a long non-coding RNA of Equus quagga, 634 nucleotides long. RefSeq lists it as uncharacterized. The transcript is spliced from 3 exons. NCBI's taxonomy places the organism in Eukaryota, Metazoa, Chordata, Mammalia, Perissodactyla, Equidae. The record is from RefSeq and is a predicted model, not a curated record.